Molecule: ribosomal RNA, 710 nt
Filed under: uncultured soil bacterium
Lineage: Bacteria
Description: bacterial SSU rRNA
Rfam family: Bacterial small subunit ribosomal RNA
Source: RNAcentral
GCAGCGCGGGGGCAACCCUGGCGGCGAGCGGCGAACGGGUGAGUAAUACAUCGGAACGUACCCAGAAGUGGGGGAUAGCCCGGCGAAAGCCGGAUUAAUACCGCAUACGAUCUGUGGAUGAAAGUGGGGGACCUGGUAACGGGCCUCAUGCUUUUGGAGCGGCCGAUGUCCGAUUAGCUAGUUGGUGGGGUAAAGGCCUACCAAGGCGACGAUCGGUAGCUGGUCUGAGAGGAUGAUCAGCCACACUGGGACUGAGACACGGCCCAGACUCCUACGGGAGGCAGCAGUGGGGAAUUUUGGACAAUGGGGGCAACCCUGAUUCAGCCAUGCCGCGUGCGGGAAGAAGGCCUUCGGGUUGUAAACCGCUUUUGGUCGGAAAGAAAAGGCCACCUUGAAUAGGGGUGGUUUUUGACGGUACCGGCAGAAUAAGCACCGGCUAACUACGUGCCAGCAGCCGCGGUAAUACGUAGGGUGCGAGCGUUAAUCGGAAUUACUGGGCGUAAAGCGUGCGUAGGCGGUUUCUGAAGUCCGCUGUGAAAGCCCCGGGCUUAACCUGGGAAUGGCAUGUGGAAACUAGCGGACUUGAAUCUGGCAGAGGGGGGUGGAAUGCCGCGUGUAGCAGUGAAAUGCGUAGAGAUGCGGCGGAACACCGAUGGCGAAGGCAGCCCCCUGGGCUGAGAUUGACGCUGAGGCACGAAAGCGUGGGGAGC